Molecule: ribosomal RNA, 465 nt
Filed under: Vreelandella stevensii
Lineage: Bacteria; Pseudomonadati; Pseudomonadota; Gammaproteobacteria; Oceanospirillales; Halomonadaceae
Description: partial 16S ribosomal RNA
Rfam family: Bacterial small subunit ribosomal RNA
Source: RNAcentral
CCUACGGGAGGCUGCAGUGGGGAAUAUUGGACAAUGGGGGGAACCCUGAUCCAGCCAUGCCGCGUAUGUGAAGAAGGCCCUCGGGUUGUAAAGCACUUUCAGUGAGGAAGAACGCCUGGUGGUUAAUACCCAUCAGGAAAGACAUCACUCACAGAAGAAGCACCGGCAAACUCCGUGCCAGCAGCCGCGGUAAUACGGAGGGUGCGAGCGUUAAUCGGAAUUACUGGGCGUAAAGCGCGCGUAGGUGGCUUGAUAAGCCGGUUGGGAAAGCCCCGGGCUCAACCUGGGAACGGCAUCCGGAACUGUCAAGCUAGAGUGCAGGAGAGGAAGGUAGAAUUCCCGGUGUAGCGGUGAAAUGCGUAGAGAUCGGGAGGAAUACCAGUGGCGAAGGCGGCCUUCUGGACUGACACUGACACUGAGGUGCGAAAGCGUGGGUAGCAAACAGGAUUAGAUACCCGUGUAGUC